Molecule: ribosomal RNA, 253 nt
Filed under: uncultured bacterium
Lineage: Bacteria
Description: partial 16S ribosomal RNA
Rfam family: Bacterial small subunit ribosomal RNA
Source: RNAcentral
UACGUAGGGGGCGAGCGUUGUCCGGAAUUACUGGGCGUAAAGGGCGCGUAGGCGGCCCAAUAAGUCAGAUGUGAAAAACCUGGGCUUAACCGAGGUCUUGCAUUUGAAACUGUUGGGCUUGAGGACAGGAGAGGAAAGCGGAAUUCCCAGUGUAGCGGUGAAAUGCGUAGAUAUUGGGAGGAACACCAGUGGCGAAGGCGGCUUUCUGGACUGACCCUGACGCUGAGGCGCGAAAGCCAGGGGAGCGAACGGG